This is a long non-coding RNA of Piliocolobus tephrosceles (Ugandan red Colobus), 590 nucleotides long. RefSeq lists it as uncharacterized. The transcript has 2 exons. The record is from RefSeq and is a predicted model, not a curated record. Lineage: Eukaryota; Metazoa; Chordata; Mammalia; Primates; Cercopithecidae.
CAGGUGACAAUGAAGAAGGGCAGGGAAGGUGGCUGAAAUGGAAGAUACAGUUAAAAUGGUAUUCGAAAAUACAGAGGGAUCCGGCAUAAUUAAGAGCAUUAAGCAAUCAUCUCAGCCCAAGGAGGCAGCUGAAGAAAAGAACAGAGUUUGGGCAACACUUGGGGAAAUAAAUUCCACAGCCUUUCACCAAGUUGAAAUCUUGGCUUUGGACACACAUAAAAAUGAGCCUGGCCCGAUCUUAGCUCUCAGUGGACAUCUGCCAGAUCACAAGAUUUGACCCAAUUGGCCUGCCUUACCAUAGAGAAGGCCACUGCUGGAGCAGCAGAUGGUACUGCUGGUAAAAGCCAACGUGGACGGACAAGGCUGUGGCAGGGAAAUGGCAGAGCACAGCUGGCCCCAGCCUGGGUAGGAGCCUUUGCUGUGAAGAGAAUCAUUUUUGUAAUGCAUUUUUUAAAAAUAACAUCAAUCUGAUUUCCUUCUCUCGUAGACUUCAAUCACUUUUCAAGUCCUACAAAACAUUGCUAAUUGAUCUAUUAUUUUCUCUCUUGUCACUAGAUACUGUCGUACAGUAGUAAAACUGCUAAACUCUA